UUGCUAAGGUUGCGUUUUGGUUCAGGUGUCAGUGAAAACGGCUUAUUUUAAAAAUAGAUAUAAAUUUAGGUAUAAGCAGAAAGUAUAUCAAUUUUGUGUUUGGAUAAAGAUUUGAUUAUUUCUUCUAGAAAUAAGUUAAUAGUAGUUAGAUGAUUAGAUUGGAACAAGAGGAAUAAGAGUUAUAAUUUUAAAUUAAAAUCAUGUUAUCUAAUUAAUUAAUACCAAAAUAUUAUUUAAAAAUAAUUUAAUAAAUUAAUAAUUUAUUAGCUAUGAAUAUUAUAUAAGAUAAUAAAAAUAUAUUAAUUAAUUAAUUAUAAAAAAUAAUUUAAUUUUUUAAUUAGUUAGUAAAUUAAUUUAGCUAGAUAACUAGUAAAAAAAUUAAUUAGAUUAAUAGAAAUAUUAACGAUUGAUCGAUAUAAAUAUUAGUUUAUAGAUAAAUACAUUAAAUUAUUAAUAAUUAAUUAUAAUUUAUUUAUUUAUUAUUCAGACAAUAAAUAAUAAUUUAAAUAUAUUAAUUAGAUUAACUAAUAGUUUAAUAUUAUAAUUAAAUUAAAUUUAGACUUUAAUUAAUCUUAUUUCCACCUGGGAACAAGCUUGUUCCAGAAAAGGAGUGGAACAGCAGUUCCAGUUUUAUACCGGUUUAUUCUAAAAAUUCGAGAGCUACUGGUUUCAGAUAUUUAACGCAACGUUUGGAAAUAAAGAGGGAGCAAGGACUUAUUCCUGUCUUUGUUCGAGUCUCGAACAAAGGGGGAUGUGUAUGUUAAUUGGUCAGUGAAAUAAAGAGGGAGCAAGGACUUAUUCCCGUCUUUGUUCGAGUCUCGAACAAAAGGGGAUGUGUAUGUUAAUUGGUCAGUGUUGGGAUACGGGAGGUACACGUAUAUUAUGUGUAACGACUCGACUCGCUAGCAAUAAUAACUCGUUGGGCCCAAACCACCGGCCCAAAAUGCUUAAGUCGGGUUAAGAGUUUAGCCCUAUUAUAUCUCAUAUAUAGGACUAUCUGGGGUCUCACAAUCUCCCCUCCUUUAAGCCCUGACGUCCUCGUCAGGCUCAGACUCACAAGUACCAGGCGAUGUGAGACUCAUCUCGCUAGCCCGUCAUCCAGACCCUGGCUCAGCCGAGACUCAUCUCACACUUCCGGCUGGUAAUUGGCUCUGAUACCAUCUGUGACGCCCCAACUUCCCAGGGGGUCACCCAUCCUAGGACUACUCCCGUCCUAGCACGCUUAACUCUCUUAACCUCUUGGGCCUUGCCACCACCCAAAAUGCUUAAGCCGGGUUAAGAGUUUAGCCCUAUUAUAUCUCAUAUAUAGGACUAUCUGGGGUCUCACAAUCUCCCCUCCUUUAAGCCCUGACGUCCUCGUCAGGCUCAGACUCACAAGUACCAGGCGAUGUGAGACUCAUCUCGCUAGCCCGUCAUCCAGACCCCGGCUCAGCCGAGACUCAUCUCACACUUCCGGCUGGUAAUUGGCUCUGAUACCAAUUGCAACGACCCGACCCAUUAGCAAUAAUAACUCGUUGGGCCAAACCACAGGCCCAAAAUGCUUAAGCCGGGUUAUUAUUAACUUUUCCAUCCGAUGUGGGAUUAUUGGGGUGUCACAGACUCCCCCGUUAAGGCCCUGACGUCCUCGUCAGUCCAAUCACACACACAGCCCAAGAUCACCAAGCGACCUCGUUAGUCCAAUCACACACACAGCCCAAGAUCACCAGGCGAUGUGAGACCCUGACGUUCUCGUCAGUCCAAUCACACACACAGCCCAAGAUUAUCAGGCGAUGUGAGACUCGUCUCGCUAGCCCGUCAUCCAGACCCUGGCUCAGCCGAGACUCGCCACACAUGUCCAGCUGGUGAACCGGCUCUGAUACCAAAUGUAACGACACAUCCCCUAGCAAUAAUAACUCGUUUGGCCCAAACCACCGGCCCAAAAUGCUUAAGCCCAGUUAUUAUUAUUAGCGUGUAGGUCUCAUAUAAACUGAUCGGAAUCAGUAUCCCAUCUGAUGUGGGACUAUUGGGAGCGUUACAAACUCUCCUGGUUUAGACCCUGACGUCCUCGUCGGGUCCAAAUCAGAUCACAGACAGACAUACCAGGACCAUUACCAGGCGAUAUGAGAUUCUAGAGAUGGCUCCUACGGGUUCAAGAGGUGGCUCCCACCAAACCCGUUGGUGUAGCACUUUGUCCCGCAUAGCACUUAGUUCUCACACUUCCGGCUGGUAUUCGGCUCUGAUACCAAUUGCAACGACCCGAUCCGUUAGCAACAAUAACUCGUUGGGCCAAACCACCGGCCCAAAAUGCUUAAGCCGGGUUAUUAUUACUAGCUAUAAACUGAUCAGAAUCAGUAUCCCAUCUGAUGUGGAACUAAUCUCAUAUAAACUGAUCAGAAUUAGUAUCCCAUCCAAUGUGGGACUAUUGAAGCGUUACAAACUCCCCCUGUUUAGACCCUGACGUCCUCAUCGGGUCCAAACCAGAUCACAGACACACAGACAGAUCAGAAUUUCCAGGCGAUGUGAGAUUCUAGAGGAUCACAGACACACAGACAGAUCAGGACCAGAAUUUUCAGGCGAUGUGAAAUUCUAGAGAUGGCUCCUACGGGUUCAAGAGGUGGCUCCCACCAAAUCCAUUGGUGUAGCACUUUGUCCCGCAUAGAACUUAGUUCUCACACUUCUGGCUGGUAUUCAGCUCUGAUACCACUAAAGCUGUCACGCCCCAGAUCCGACUGCUCGGAUCUGAACCGCAACAACCGGCCACGAAUUCAGAGGAAGAACCUCCGAAAACGGAAGGCCUUAAAUUGAUCCAAAGCCACCAUCUCAGUUAUUGUUGCUGGCAUUUUGGGCCGGUGGUUUGGCCCAACGAGUUAUUGUUGCUAACGAGUCGGGUCGUUACAAUUGGUAUCAGAGCCGAAUACCAGCCGGAAAUGUGAGAACUAAGUGCUAUGCGGGACAAAGUGCUACACCAACGGAUUUAGUGGGAGCCACCUCUUGAACCCGUAGGAGCCACCUCUAGAAUCUCAUAUCACCUGGUUUAGACCCGACGAGGACGUCAGGGUCUAAACAAGGGGAGUUUGUAACGCCCCCAAUAGUCCCAAAUCAGAUGGGAUACUGAUUCCGAUCAGUUUAUAUGAGACCUACACGCUAGUAAUAAUAACUGGGCUUAAGCAUUUUGGGCCGGUGGUUUGGGCCAAACGAGUUAUUAUUGCUAGGGGUCGGGUCGUUACAUUAUGUAUAUCAAAAACUUUUGGCUGAUUUGAAAAAAAUAAUCAAAUUAAUCUUUUUCGUAAAUUAUUUUCUUUUAUGACAAGAGACAUAUAUUGCACAUGCACAUUGACUAUUGUUUGGAUGGUUAAUGUCAACUUCUAAGGUUGCUAUCUGCAACUGCACCAUUGUCCAGGGGGGUCAGUGCAUUAAUUUAUCCCAUAUCAAUUUAGUCCACAUGGUUUUAAAACUUAUACUUGGGGGGUCUACUGUUUAAUAAAUAUAACAACUAUGUCCUUCCUGCUUUCGCUAGUGAAAUAAAAAAAAAUAAAGAAUAAAUUUCAAAUACCACUCAUGUGAUUUCGCACUUUCUCAUUUUAGUAUUCUGUAAUUUAAAAUGUAUCAAUUUAGUACCCAGUGGUUUCAUUUUUUUUUUCUUUUCAUCCGCUCCUCCGCUAACAUUUCGUUAAAUUAUAUAUAAAAAACUUUAGAUACCCCACUUAGUACCUUUCAAUUUUUAAUUUUGUCACCAAUUUAAUGAAAAAAAAUUAGUGGAGGGAAUAAUAAAAAGAGAAAUGAAACCACGGGAUACUAAAUUGAUAUAUUUUAAACUACAAUGUACUAAAAUAAAAAAGUGCCAAACCACAGAGAUGUUAUUUGAAGUUUUUCCAAAAAUAAAAGAGCAAUACUACUGUUACACCCAAAGUGAGGUGUAUAUUUUAUAUAUGCACUCUAUCUAAGGGCUAUUAAUUAUUUAUUUAUCACAUCAAUUUUUGUGUAAAUAUUUUUACCUAUGAGAUUAUUAUUUUAUUUGAAAAAAUAUUUAAUGGCCAAAUAUAGUAUUCAAUUCUAGACAUGUCAUCACACUCAUCAUUUACAAAAUGUAUAGAUAUUUUGAUCUUUGUUUGAAUGUUGGAAUAAGUUAUUUUUGAAUAACUUAUUCAACAUGAAAUUUUAUUUUUUUGGAGACAAAACGGUUAAUUUUUGUUGGAACAAAUACCGCAACGAAAAUCCGAUUGUGAUUAAAAAUCUAACUAAUUUGUAAUAAAGAUAAAAUCAAACUUACAGAUAAAAAAAUAAAAGAUGAAUAGAUAAGAAUUAACAAAUUAUCUAAAUCCCAUUCUCAAUAGGGAAAAAAGGAGAUAAUAUAUGAAAAAGGGAAAAAAGAGAAUUCACACGAGAAAGGAGCGGAACCGCGCAAAGGAAUGGAAUUCCGUUUGGCGCAAGAAACAAAACAGAAAUAUUCCGUUAGUUUCUUUUUCAUUAAGAAAAAUAAUAAAAUAAAUAAAUAAAUAAAUAAAAUAAUAAAUAAAUUUAAAGUUUAAAUAAAAUAAAUUCAACCUCAAAAAUUUGAGUUUUCCACCAACAAUUUUUACUUCUUAAAACAUCUUAUCAUUC
Molecule: long non-coding RNA, 4581 nt
Filed under: Ananas comosus (pineapple)
Lineage: Eukaryota; Viridiplantae; Streptophyta; Magnoliopsida; Poales; Bromeliaceae
Description: long non-coding RNA (ACOM_LNC024608)
Source: RNAcentral